GCUGGGUGCGGUGGCUCACGCCUGUAAUCCCAGCACUUUGGGAGGCCGAGGUGGGUGGAUCACCUGAGGUCAGGAGUUCGAGACCAGCCUGACCAACAUGGUGAAACCCCAUCUCUA
Non-coding RNA from Pan troglodytes (chimpanzee), 117 nucleotides. It matches the Rfam family "Metazoan signal recognition particle RNA". Rfam says of the family: The signal recognition particle (SRP) is a universally conserved ribonucleoprotein. It is involved in the co-translational targeting of proteins to membranes. The record is from Rfam. NCBI's taxonomy places the organism in Eukaryota, Metazoa, Chordata, Mammalia, Primates, Hominidae.